CACAGCCCUACCACGCCAGGCUCCGACGCCUUCUGGCCGUAACCGCCUGACCAAGCGCCACGCCUGCGCCCUGGCGAAGAGGCCAGAAUGGGGGUGGGGUCCCGAACGCGGCGCAAGGGAUCCUGGGUGCCGGGCAGUGUGGGAGACCAGAAAUAUGCCACAGGAAAAUAUGAAGGAUUGUUGAGCUGAAGGCAAUGAAGCAGCAGCAGAUGCAAGAAAGCUCUCUGCCCUCCAUUUGCCUAAAAGCACGACGACAUAGAUUUACAAAAACAAAAGGUAUCCUGCCCCACCUUCUACUGGGAAGAGCAAAAAUAUUAACUACCAAAGACAACUUCGGACCCUUAUUGGCCUAGAGAUGAUACCAGAAGAAUCUACAUUAACAAACUUUACUUACUGGCCUUUAUUGCCACUCAUUUCCUUCCUCCAAGUUGCUGUUCUUAGAGACUCAAAGUCCUUUUCCUUUGUCUUGUCACAUCCUAAAAAUGUACUGUUUGAACUGGAAUUCUAACGCACCUCUUUGAAAACUACUCAUUCUCUGGGUGUCUCCCAUGUAUAUAUGAAAUAUACAUGUUAAUACA
Molecule: long non-coding RNA, 578 nt
Organism: Gorilla gorilla gorilla (western lowland gorilla)
Lineage: Eukaryota; Metazoa; Chordata; Mammalia; Primates; Hominidae
Exons: 2
Source: RefSeq, a predicted model, not a curated record